CCUACGGGUGGCUGCAGUGAGGAAUAUUGGUCAAUGGGCGGAAGCCUGAACCAGCCAAGUAGCGUGCGGGAUGAAGGCCCUACGGGUCGUAACCCGCUUUUGCACGGGGAUAACACCCUCCACUUGUGGAGGUCUGCAGGUACCGUGCGGAUAAGGGCCGGCUAAAUCCGGGCCAGCAGCCGCGGUAAUCCGGACGGCUCGAGCGUGUUCCGGAUUCUUUUGGCGUAAAGAGCGCGUAGGCGGGAUAGCAAGUCAGAUGUGAAAUCCUAUGGCGUAACCAUAGAACGGCAUUUGCAACUGGUAGUCUAGAGUAUGGGAGAGGAAGGUGGAAGUCGUGGUGUAGGGGUAAAA
RNAcentral lists this ribosomal RNA (351 nucleotides) under uncultured bacterium. Its description in RNAcentral is "partial 16S ribosomal RNA". It matches the Rfam family "Bacterial small subunit ribosomal RNA", at positions 338 to 686 of the family's 1533-position model. The record is from RNAcentral.